AUCCAUAGCCAUGCCACCCUGAACAAGCCCUAUCCUGUCUGAUCUCAGAAGCUAAGCAGGGUCGGACCUGGUUAGUACUUGGAUGGGAGACCACCUAGGAAGACUGCGUGCUGUAGGCA
This 119-nucleotide ribosomal RNA is filed under the name Pteropus alecto (black flying fox). Lineage: Eukaryota; Metazoa; Chordata; Mammalia; Chiroptera; Pteropodidae. The record is from RNAcentral.